UGGCUAACUCCUACGGGAGGCAGCAGUGGGGAAUUUUGGACAAUGGGGGCAACCCUGAUUCAGCAAUGCCGCGUGAGUGAAGAAGGCCUUCGGGUUGUAAAGCUCUUUUGUCUGGGAAGAAACGGUAGUAGCUAAUAUCUAUUACUAAUGACGGUACCUGAAGAAUAAGCACCUGCUAACUACGUGCCAGCAGCCGCGGUAAUACGUAGGGUGCAAGCGUUAAUCGGAAUUACUGGGCGUAAAGCGUGCGCAGGCGGUUGUGUAAGUCAGAUGUGAAAUUCCCGGGCUCAACCUGGGAAUUGCAUUUGAGACUACACGGCGAGAGUGUGUCAGAGGGGGGUAGAAUUCCGCGUGGAGCAGUGAAAUGCGUAGAUAUGUGGAGGAAUACCGAUGGCGAAGGCAGCCCCCUGGGAUAACACUGACGCUCAUGCACGAGAGCGUGGGGAGCAAACAGGAUUAGAUACCCUAGUAGUCCAGCUGG
RNAcentral lists this ribosomal RNA (481 nucleotides) under uncultured bacterium. RNAcentral's name for it is "bacterial SSU rRNA". It matches the Rfam family "Bacterial small subunit ribosomal RNA", at positions 329 to 803 of the family's 1533-position model. The record is from RNAcentral.